This 149-nucleotide small nuclear RNA is filed under the name Pogona vitticeps (central bearded dragon). RNAcentral describes it as "U1 spliceosomal RNA (ENSPVIG00000007178.1)". It matches the Rfam family "U1 spliceosomal RNA". Rfam says of the family: U1 is a small nuclear RNA (snRNA) component of the spliceosome (involved in pre-mRNA splicing). Its 5' end forms complementary base pairs with the 5' splice junction, thus defining the 5' donor site of an intron. There are significant differences in sequence and secondary structure between metazoan and yeast U1 snRNAs, the latter being much longer (568 nucleotides as compared to 164 nucleotides in human). Lineage: Eukaryota; Metazoa; Chordata; Lepidosauria; Squamata; Agamidae. The record is from RNAcentral.
AUAAUUGGCAGGGGAGAUACCAUUAUUUUAAAAGUGGUUUUCCCAGGGAAAGAUGCAUCUAUUGCACUUUGGAUGUGCUGACCCCUAUGAUUUCCCCAAAUGUGGGAAAAUCAACUGCCUAAGUGGGGAACUGUAUUUGUGGUUUCUCU